Salmo salar (Atlantic salmon) is the source of this 1389-nucleotide long non-coding RNA. RefSeq lists it as uncharacterized. Lineage: Eukaryota; Metazoa; Chordata; Actinopteri; Salmoniformes; Salmonidae. The record is from RefSeq and is a predicted model, not a curated record.
GAAGUAGGGAGGGAGAGAAAGUGGGAGGGAAGGGGAAAAGAGGACUGCUGAAUCAGCACUCCAGUAUGGAUUUUCAGUUCUCCUCCUUCUCUUCUGAAAAACAGCCGUCUGGAUUGCCAUCCCCGGAACACAACACACAGGACCAGAGCUAUUCAUUUCCACAGGACCAGAGCUGUUCAUUUCCACAGGACCAGAGCUAUUCAUUUCCACAGGACCAGAGCUGUUCAUUUCCACAGGACCAGAGCUAUUCAUUUCCACAAGACCAGAGCUAUUCAUUUCCACAAGACCAGAGCUAUUCAUUUCCACAGGACCAGAGCUAUUCAUUUCCACAAGACCAGAGGUGUUCAUUUCCACAAGACCAGAGCUAUUCAUUUCCACAAGACCAGAGCUAUUCAUUUCCACAAGACCAGAGCUAUUUAUUUCCACAGGACCAGAGCUAUUCAUUUCCACAGGACCAGAGGUAUUCAUUUCCACAGGACCAGAGGUAUUCAUUUCCACAGGACCAGAGGUAUUCAUUUCCACAGGACCAGAGCUAUUCAUUUCCACAGGACCAGAGGUAUUCAUUUCCACAGGACCAGAGCUAUUCAUUUCCACAGGACCAGAGCUAUUCAUUUCCAGGCUAAAAUACCUAGGUGUUGCCCACCUCCCCUCCCACAGAGUCCUGCUGGAGUUGGAGAGGAUAGAGAGACGGAAAGAAAAGAGGAGGGAUGGAUGGAGGGAUAUGGUGGCUCAGGGCCAGAGGAUGAGAGGCCUGCCAGAGAGGAGAAGAGCGGCACGAACACGCACACCUCCCACCAGGAAGCAUCAUGACUAUAAACAGUGGCUGAGCCAGGAUGUCAAAGUUGAGUUGAAACAUGAUUAUUAACCCUGACCAUGACAAUCAGAAAUACACAGACACACACACACACACACACACACACACACACACACACACACACACACACACACACACACACACACACACACACACACACACACACAGGAACACACACAUUCACACACACAUACACACAUACACAGGAACACACGAACACAAUGCAAAACAAACUGUGGAAUGUCUACCGGAACUAUAAACAUGAAUUAUGUCCUGAUGUCACGCCCUGACCUUAGAGAGCCUUUUUAUUCUCUAUUUUGGUUAGGUCAGGGUGUGACUAGGGUGGGUACUCUAGUAUUUUGUAUUUCUAUGUUGGCCUGGUAUGGUUCCCAAUCAGAGGCAGCUGUCUAUCGUUGUCUCUGAUUGGGGAUCAUAUUUAGGCAGCCUUUUCCCACGUGUUUGUGGGAUCUUGUUUUUUGUAUUGUUGCCGUUGAGCCCUACAAGGCUGUACGUUUCGUUGGUUACUCUUUCUUGUUUUGUUGCUGGUUAUCAUUAAUAAAUAUGAUUAAACUACC